UUUCCAUGCUAAAUGACUCGUAGAAACCAAUGAAAUUGGCCGACAUGAAAGAAGAUAACAAGUAUGCACCAGGAAGGGGUGAAAAAAAUGGAUACGAUAUGCAUUUCAAAGUGAACGAUCGUAUUAGUGAAAUUUGCAUCUAAAUUUAAGUAUCCUUUUUAACCGAAAGGAGAUGGUGUAUUCUCAGUGGGGAAGAAUCUGCCACGUACGGAGGAUAUACACAUCAACGGCCGCAUUCUUACAUCAUCAACACUGCAAAUCGGAAUUUGGAGGGACCGG
This 279-nucleotide long non-coding RNA is filed under the name Elaeis guineensis (African oil palm). RNAcentral's name for it is "long non-coding RNA (EGUI_LNC000224)". Lineage: Eukaryota; Viridiplantae; Streptophyta; Magnoliopsida; Arecales; Arecaceae. The record is from RNAcentral.